UACGGAGGGUGCGAGCGUUGUCCGGAAUCACUGGGCGUAAAGGGCGCGUAGGUGGCGCGGGCAGUCAACGGUGAAAGUUCGGGGCUCAACCCUGAAUCGGCCGUCGAUACUCCCGGGCUUGAGCACUGUAGAGGCAGAUGGAAUUCCGGGUGUAGCGGUGGAAUGCGUAGAGAUCCGGAAGAACACCAGUGGCGAAGGCGGCUUCCUGGUCUGCGACUGACGCUGUGGCGCGAAAGCUAGGGGAGCAAACGGG
Molecule: ribosomal RNA, 253 nt
Filed under: uncultured bacterium
Lineage: Bacteria
Description: partial 16S ribosomal RNA
Rfam family: Bacterial small subunit ribosomal RNA
Source: RNAcentral